GCCCAGACAGCCAGGAUGUUGGCUUAGAAGCAGCCAUCAUUUAAAGAAAGCGUAAUAGCUCACUGGUCGAGUCGGCCUGCGCGGAAGAUGUAACGGGGCUAAACCAUGCACCGAAGCUGCGGCAGCGACGCUUAUGCGUUGUUGGGUAGGGGAGCGUUCUGUAAGCCUGCGAAGGUGUGCUGUGAGGCAUGCUGGAGGUAUCAGAAGUGCGAAUGCUGACAUAAGUAACGAUAAAGCGGGUGAAAAGCCCGCUCGCCGGAAGACCAAGGGUUCCUG
This 276-nucleotide ribosomal RNA is filed under the name Xanthomonas citri pv. citri. Its description in RNAcentral is "partial 23S ribosomal RNA". It matches the Rfam family "Bacterial large subunit ribosomal RNA", at positions 1083 to 1357 of the family's 2925-position model. Lineage: Bacteria; Pseudomonadati; Pseudomonadota; Gammaproteobacteria; Lysobacterales; Lysobacteraceae. The record is from RNAcentral.